Molecule: ribosomal RNA, 115 nt
Filed under: Muribaculum sp. An287
Lineage: Bacteria; Pseudomonadati; Bacteroidota; Bacteroidia; Bacteroidales; Muribaculaceae
Also listed under: 1 other name
Description: partial 23S ribosomal RNA
Rfam family: Bacterial large subunit ribosomal RNA
Source: RNAcentral
CCCCCUCCGAGAUAAGAUCUCCGUUUAAGGGCCGUGGGAGACUACCACGUCGAUAGGCGGGAGGUGCAAAGCCGGCGACGGCAAAGCCGACCCGUACUAAUGGCCCGUAGGUUUC